Molecule: unclassified non-coding RNA, 436 nt
Filed under: Artemisia dracunculoides
Lineage: Eukaryota; Viridiplantae; Streptophyta; Magnoliopsida; Asterales; Asteraceae
Description: partial external transcribed spacer
Source: RNAcentral
UGUUUGGUUUGUUACGUGUGGUUGGCUGCGGCGUUUGCAACAACUUCCAUGCUUUCAGACCUCUUCAGUUGUGCGGCAAGGCUUGUAUUGCCUUGAGCGUAUUGUGGGUUUUCUGUGUUGGCUACCUAAUCAACGGUAUCGUUUGGAUUGAUCAAAGUUUGAUUUCGUCUUCCGUCGCGUUUGCGGCGUGAGGUGAACCUUGAUGCGGUCUCUUUGAUCCAUCUCGUCGAAGCACAUGCUUUGACGUUGUGGCACAUUGAGCAUUGCUUGGUGUCUUGUAUACGGAACACGUAGUGGGCAUGGAUCUAACGAUUCUUGUUUGCCCUCAUAUUAGCGUAACGCUUCUCUAACACGACUUGCAUCACGUUUUAGCUCGUACGGACGUGGUGCUAUGUCGCAGAGGAAUGCUACCUGGUUGAUCCUGCCAGAGUCAAUC